GGACGGACUGACGGACAGACAGAGGUAAAACAGUAUACCCCCCCUUUUUUAAAGCGGGGGUAUAAUUACAGAGGUAAAACAGUAUACCCCCCCUUUUUUAAAGCGGGGGUAUAAUUACACAUGGAACCAUCUGACAACAAGUAACAGUAAAUAUGUGUCUUUAAAUAACAAUGCAGGCGAGUUUGUUCUUUUCUCUAGAUGGACAAUACAACAAUGUUAACUUUAUUCAUUGUUAUGUGUGACCUAUUGAAAGAAUAAGGAAAAUUUUUUAUUUGCUAGUCAAAUCAUUGAAUAAGAUAUCAAAAGGAUGGCUGAAACACCAAUUAAAAAUAAAUUCAAUAUUUACAUCUGCUAAUACAAAUGUGAUUUAAAAUUCAUGUUUCAUUUAACAAAC
RNAcentral lists this long non-coding RNA (394 nucleotides) under Mytilus galloprovincialis (Mediterranean mussel). The record is from RNAcentral. Lineage: Eukaryota; Metazoa; Mollusca; Bivalvia; Mytilida; Mytilidae.